RNAcentral lists this ribosomal RNA (253 nucleotides) under uncultured bacterium. RNAcentral's name for it is "partial 16S ribosomal RNA". It matches the Rfam family "Bacterial small subunit ribosomal RNA", at positions 524 to 776 of the family's 1533-position model. The record is from RNAcentral.
UACGUAGGGUGCAAGCGUUAAUCGGAAUUACUGGGCGUAAAGCGUGCGCAGGCGGCUUUGCAAGACAGAUGUGAAAUCCCCGGGCUUAACCUGGGAACUGCAUUUGUGACUGCAUGGCUAGAGUGCGGCAGAGGGGGAUGGAAUUCCGCGUGUAGCAGUGAAAUGCGUAGAUAUGCGGAGGAACACCGAUGGCGAAGGCGGAUCUCUGGGCCUGUCCUGACGCUGAGGCGCGAAAGCUAGGGGAGCGAACAGG